This 563-nucleotide ribosomal RNA is filed under the name Limosilactobacillus reuteri. RNAcentral's name for it is "bacterial SSU rRNA". It matches the Rfam family "Bacterial small subunit ribosomal RNA", at positions 335 to 886 of the family's 1533-position model. The record is from RNAcentral. Lineage: Bacteria; Bacillati; Bacillota; Bacilli; Lactobacillales; Lactobacillaceae.
UCCCUCUCGGGGGGGGGGGGUCAGUGGGAAUCUUCCACAAUGGGCGCAAGCCUGAUGGAGCAACACCGCGUGAGUGAAGAAGGGUUUCGGCUCGUAAAGCUCUGUUGUUGGAGAAGAACGUGCGUGAGAGUAACUGUUCACGCAGUGACGGUAUCCAACCAGAAAGUCACGGCUAACUACGUGCCAGCAGCCGCGGUAAUACGUAGGUGGCAAGCGUUAUCCGGAUUUAUUGGGCGUAAAGCGAGCGCAGGCGGUUGCUUAGGUCUGAUGUGAAAGCCUUCGGCUUAACCGAAGAAGUGCAUCGGAAACCGGGCGACUUGAGUGCAGAAGAGGACAGUGGAACUCCAUGUGUAGCGGUGGAAUGCGUAGAUAUAUGGAAGAACACCAGUGGCGAAGGCGGCUGUCUGGUCUGCAACUGACGCUGAGGCUCGAAAGCAUGGGUAGCGAACAGGAUUAGAUACCCUGGUAGUCCAUGCCGUAAACGAUGAGUGCUAGGUGUUGGAGGGUUUCCGCCCUUCAGUGCCGGAGCUAACGCAUUAAGCACUCCGCCUGGGAGAGACCGA